GUACCUUUCUCGGCCUUUUGGCUAAGAUCAAGUGUAGUAUUUGUUCUUAUCAGUUUAAUAUCUGAUAUGUGGGCCAUGUGUCCACAACGAUAUUAAAUUUAUUUUUUAUGGGGGAGGGUCCAUCACAAUGGCUUGUCGUUGGGCCCUUAGCUGUCGCUUGGGCGUUGCACUACAGCCCAGGCAGGUGCACCCCAA
Small nuclear RNA from Triticum dicoccoides, 195 nucleotides. RefSeq annotates it as U2 spliceosomal RNA. The record is from RefSeq and is a predicted model, not a curated record. NCBI's taxonomy places the organism in Eukaryota, Viridiplantae, Streptophyta, Magnoliopsida, Poales, Poaceae. The transcript has a single exon.